AUUCAUGCCUCACUGAUCACCACGGUACAGCGACCUAGCGUGCACGGGCUUUAUCUUAAGCUGUUGUUUCGGUGCUGGGCUAGGCCUUCAUUACUGUCGUUGUGCUCCUCACGCUCACUGCAUGCAACUCAUUACGCUGUUCAAAAUUAUCAUUUUGGCUCUGUAUGAAAUUGUUUAUUCUAAUUGAACGUGCGCAUUGUGUCAAAUUUAUUUGUAUUAACAAAGACAUCGUUACCAUUUACUACAAGAUCAACACCAAGAGGGGCAAUGUCUUCAAGAGUAGAAAGAGGCCCAGUGUUUUCGUAACCCUGUUCACUUAGGAAAGAGUUGCAGCUUUCAUCAAAGAAA
Patiria miniata (bat star) is the source of this 348-nucleotide long non-coding RNA. RefSeq lists it as uncharacterized. NCBI's taxonomy places the organism in Eukaryota, Metazoa, Echinodermata, Asteroidea, Valvatida, Asterinidae. The record is from RefSeq and is a predicted model, not a curated record. The transcript has 2 exons.